This is a non-coding RNA of Carica papaya (papaya), 3087 nucleotides long. Lineage: Eukaryota; Viridiplantae; Streptophyta; Magnoliopsida; Brassicales; Caricaceae. The record is from RefSeq and is a predicted model, not a curated record.
UCAAAACCUUUCUUUUAAAGCCGAUAAAAUCUGUUACCUUACAACCCAUACAAAAACACAACUCCAAACAGAAGGUCAAGGUUUCAAAUUUCUUAAGGGCGCCUUUCUAUGGUUUUCCGAUGAUCACCAUAAAACCCAUACCAAACACAACCCCAGACAGAAGGUCAUGGUUUCAAAUUUCUUAAGGGUGCCUAGCAAGUGGGGACUUCUUUAGAAUUCCUUUGCGAGCAGACAAAUGGAGACACUCUCGUCUGUUUUUGGCGUUGCACGGAAAGAGAAAUAACUCAAGGGGAGAGCAGACGACAGGAAGGUACGCCCGAAGAGGCGAGCACGAGAGAAGCAGCAAGGGAACACGUUCACAAUAUGGAGUCAGAGAAAGGACCUGAGAACAGGGGAGCAGGUGUUGGAGUGCGCUGUGUACGGCGGGGUCAGAAGUCUUACGCGUGACGGCGAGGAGGCAGUGGCUAUAAAGGUGAAAGCUGGGGCCGAUAAGGGAAGGGGUUUCGGGGCAGAUGAUUAGAGGAAAAUCGAGAUUUACUUGGGGGGCGGGGGAGGGUGGGGGGGGGAGCUUUCAUUUCAUUCGAUGUUGGACUUGUCGGACUUUACGAUUUCUGGGUAAGGGAUUCAGAGAGAACGAAGGCCGAGGAUUGAGGUGGAUUUCGUCCUCUCUGGUCGGAGCCAAAAACAAGAAAGGGGUUCUUUGAGGGUUUCUGUGUAAGAAGACCGCUGAAAAGAGGGCUCGUCUUCUUCUGGGUCUUCUCUGUUCUGGAGAUUUAAGGUUUUGGGCUUCUUUUGGAUUCUAAUCCUUGAAGGGAGAUUGAGCAAACGAUUAGAAGAAGCUAGGAAUAUGAUAAAACAUCUAAGAUUUUUCUUGAGAAUGGUUAGAAUGCGGAAGGAUGCUUGAACAUAAAUGUGUAGUGAACUUCUGCGCGUUGAUUGCUUAAGGAUGCUUGAACAGGCUUGAUACUAUGAGAACUUUUGCACGUCGAUUGCUUGCUACUAUGAGAACUUUUUCACUUAUCUUAUAUUGCCGCUAGACCUAAUUACUUUUGUUCUUCUUUUCUAGGGAUUAUAACCACCAAAUGGUAAAGAAAGGCUACAGGAAAUACGUUGAGCUAUAUUCUGGUUGUUCCAUAUUCUUCCUUCAGCAAGUGCCGAUGAUUGCUGGUUCAAGAGUUGUCACGUACGGAUGGCGCGAAGACACGACUCUAAAUAUGGUCCUCAAUAAAAUUGCCUUACACAGGCUAUAUCCUGGUUGUGCUAUAUUCCUUAUUCAACAAGUGCUGAUGAUUGUUGGUUCAAGAGGGCUAUAUCCUGGUUAUAUCAUAUUCUUCAUUCAGCAAGUGCUGAUGAUUGCUGGUUCAAGAGGAAUCAUUAUUCCCAUUAUGUUGAUUCUACUGCAGUCCCCAGAAAGUCUUUCCUAUUGGAAGUGCGUUGGAAAUAGUGAGAGGUUUCAAGUAGUAGAAGCUGCAUUUUGAUCGUUUCUUUUGUGGUGACUCAUUCCCAAACAAGAUAUGCCUUUACACGUUCGUUCCAACAAUUACAUUCUCUAGUCUCUUGGUCUUGGGCCUGAAGAAAAAAUGUUUUUAUCUCUUAAAAUAAAUGUGUCUUGAAGCCUCAUUUAAUUACGAGUUAUCUUCUCUUGUUGCAAAAAUAAAAAAGGGGCUCCUAGUUAUGUCAUAUUCUUCAUUUAACAAGUGCUGAUGAUUGCUGGUUCAAGAGGUAUGCAAUAUCUUCUAUAUUUUAUACAUUUUGGUGGUUGAUUCAGAUUAUAUCAUAUUCUUAUUUUGUCCCAUGAUUUUUGCUGCUUUUUGAGUUGUCACCUAUGAAUGGUGCGAAGACACGACUCCAAAUUUGGUCCUCAAUAAAAUUGUCCUACACAGUUAUGGUUCUAAAGUGUUCAUUUGUUGGCUUUACGGUAUUUUUUUUAAUUGAUUACCUCUUGCUCGCUGACUUCUAAGCACUCAUAAUGUAAGUCCUCCUAGCUUUUUAUUUGUUUGAUUUCUUUUUAUUAUUUAUCCAAAGCUGAAGUUCAACAUUUUUAAAGGUUUUAAUACUUUUACUAUUGUAUGAAACAUGUGUUAGUGUGAAUCAAAACUUUGCCUCUUACAUGCGUGUGUUUUAUAUAGGAACCAUUUUUCCCAUUAUGUUAAUUCUACUUUCCUAUAUAAUCCCCAGAAAAUCUUUCUUAUUUGAAGUGCGUUGGGAAGAGUAAGAGCUUUCAAGUAGUAGAGGCUGCGUUUUGAUAGUUUCUUUUAUGGUGACUCAUUGCCAAACAAGAUAUGCCUUUACACUUUCGUUCCAACAGGUAGAUUCUCUAGUCUCAUAGUUUUGGACCUAAAGAAAAAAUAUUUUUAUCUCUUAAAAUAAAAGUGUCUUGAAGCCUCAUUUAAUUACGAACUUUCUUCUCUUGGUGCAAAAAUAAAAAUUGUAAGGUUUCUCUUAAUUUGAAGUAUAAGAACCUUUGGUCAUUGCACACAGAGAGUACAUUGUACCUAAGUUUCUAAUCCAAAUUAUAAGAGUUUUAUCAAACAUUAAGAAUGUCUCAAUCCCAAAUAAGGCUGCCUCAUUUUAUUAUUUUGAAAAACUAAAGUUUUUUCAUCUUUUGGUGCAAAAACAUGAGCUGUUUGGUGUUAAAAGUGUCUUAAUCUGAAAGUUUGAAUGCUUAAUUCAUUGUUUUGUUAAUUGAAGUGUCUUGAUUUAUUAUUUCAUAAUAAAUGUGUAUCACCUCUCUUAGCAAACUCCUUCAUAAUUCUGAUUGAAACCCAUAUUAAAACCAUUGGAUCAUGAGUCUUAUUUCUCUUGCACGAUGGAAGACUAUCAUGAAUCUCCUCUUCCGAUGAUUGCUAUAUCCUGAUUAUGCCAUAUUCUUCAUUCAGCAAGUGCGGUUGAUUGCUGGUUCAAGAUGUAUGCAAUAUCUACUAUGUUUAAUACAUUUUGGUGGUUGAUUAAAAUUAUAUCAUAUUCUUUUUUUGUCCCAUAAUUUUUGCUGCCUUUUGAGUUGUCACCUACGGAUGACACAAAAACACAAUUCCAAAUAUGUCCUCAAUAAAAUUGGCGGACAUAGUUAUGGUUUUAAAGUAUUCA